This 999-nucleotide long non-coding RNA is filed under the name Monodelphis domestica (gray short-tailed opossum). Its description in RNAcentral is "lncRNA (ENSMODG00000040892.1)". The record is from RNAcentral. Lineage: Eukaryota; Metazoa; Chordata; Mammalia; Didelphimorphia; Didelphidae.
GGAGGGGAUAAUGAGGAGGUGGGGUGGGAGAAACCGAGGCGGAGAGCUAGGGCAAGAGGGAGGGUAGGGGAGUAGGCGGACACGGACACCCUAUCCCACACCUUCCUACCCCCCCCUUCCUUCCCCCCGGGGGCCCCUUUCUCCUCCCCCCCCCCCCCAGUAGAAGUGGAUCUUAGCAAGACAGUCGGCUUCCCCAGACGGGGCGCCCCGCCCACUUCUUCACUGCUCCCACUCCUCACCGCCUAGACCCCCACCUUCCACCCCCCAGCCAUUUGGGGGCUUGGUCCUAGGGUCGAGCCCCAGGCUGGGCACCCAGCUCAUUUCCAUCCCGAAGCCCGCUUUUCCCUCUCGGUUCUCCCUCCUCCUAGCCCCGACGUUUCUCUAAACCCUGGAGGAGGAGGAGCAGCAGCAGCAGCAGGAUCCGCACAUUGCUAACCCGCUCUAAGUGGCUCCGAGCAGCCAAACUGGGCAUGCUCCGUAGCUUGGGCAGGUUUGGGUUGCAAGUAGAAAGCUUUGGCUCUUAAGCCGGGAGGAGAGAACAAGGAGAGAGAGGGAGGGAGAGAGGAAAAAGGGAGAAAAAGAGAGGGACACACAGAGAGACAGAGGCAUACACACGCAGAGCGCGAGAGCCCCGAGCGGCCGGAGAGGACCGCCGGUGCCCAGCGCUGCCACCAUCCAUUUGCGAGACGCUGGCACUAAAGAAACCCACCCACCGCCCCUCCGGCUGAUGGAAAGACAUAACUUUUACAUGAUGAGAAAUCCUGAAAUCAUUUUUUGAAAGAGAAGAAGUUCUCCUCUUCUUGACUGACCAUUGAUCUCACUUUAUCAAGAGCUGCUUUGUAAGUACUGUUUACAUCCCUGAAAUACAUACAUUAUAGACUUGAUAGUUAAAGUAUUGUGUUUUGUCUUGACUAUGUUGAAAUUCUUUUAUCUCUCCAAAUGUCUGUACUCCAAAUAGUACACUCAUAAUAAAUGCUUGUUGAAUCAAUAUAAGUACCA